Molecule: ribosomal RNA, 493 nt
Filed under: uncultured bacterium
Lineage: Bacteria
Description: partial 16S ribosomal RNA
Rfam family: Bacterial small subunit ribosomal RNA
Source: RNAcentral
AUUGAACGCUGGCGGCAUGCUUUACACAUGCAAGUCGAACGGUAACAGGCCUUCGGGUGCUGACGAGUGGCGCACGGGUGAGUAAUGCAUCGGAACGUGCCCAGAGGUGGGGGAUAACGCAGCGAAAGCUGUGCUAAUACCGCAUGUGAUCUGAGGAUGACAGCGGGGGACCAAGCAGCAAUGUUUGGCCUCGCGCCUCUGGAGCGGCCGAUGUCAGAUUAGGUAGUUGGUGGGGUAAAGGCCUACCAAGCCGACGAUCUGUAGCUGGUCUGAGAGGACGACCAGCCACACUGGGACUGAGACACGGCCCAGACUCCUACGGGAGGCAGCAGUGGGGAAUUUUGGACAAUGGGCGCAAGCCUGAUCCAGCAAUGCCGCGGGCGGGAAGAAGGCCUUCGGGUUGUAAACCGCUUUUGUACGGAACGAAAAGGCUCUGGCUAAUACCUGGGGCUGAUGACGGUACCGUAAGAAUAAGCACCGGCUAACUACGUGC